GGGCUUCUGGCGCAACGGUAGCGCGUUCGACUCCAGAUCGAAAGGUUAUCCGUUCAAAUCGGGUGAGGCUCA
Molecule: transfer RNA, 72 nt
Filed under: Thermochaetoides thermophila DSM 1495
Lineage: Eukaryota; Fungi; Ascomycota; Sordariomycetes; Sordariales; Chaetomiaceae
Description: tRNA-Trp (CCA) (tRNA-Trp-CCA-4-1)
Rfam family: tRNA
About the family: Transfer RNA (tRNA) molecules are approximately 80 nucleotides in length. Their secondary structure includes four short double-helical elements and three loops (D, anti-codon, and T loops). Further hydrogen bonds mediate the characteristic L-shaped molecular structure. tRNAs have two regions of fundamental functional importance: the anti-codon, which is responsible for specific mRNA codon recognition, and the 3' end, to which the tRNAs corresponding amino acid is attached (by aminoacyl-tRNA synthetases). tRNAs cope with the degeneracy of the genetic code in two manners: having more than one tRNA (with a specific anti-codon) for a particular amino acid; and 'wobble' base-pairing, i.e. permitting non-standard base-pairing at the 3rd anti-codon position.
Source: Rfam by way of RNAcentral